AAGGAAAGGAAAUCAGCCCGCCCCCGCACGACAAAUCCCAUCUCCACCUCCUGCCACGCCCUUCACCGCGCGCCGCCACCGCCCACCCCGUCGGCGCACCUGCCCCGACCCGACCGGCUACACGGGGAUGAAGCUCGAGCACACCUUCUGGAUCGGCUCAACGCGGCGGGUCGAGCGGUUGGGGGUGGCACGGCUGCUCGAUGUAGAACGGCGGCGGCGGCGGCGGCGGCGGCUGGAGCUUGCAGGGGGCGGAUCCGUGCGUGGCAGGGGCUGGGGAGCCUGAUCCGAAGGCGGGGGUCGCCGUUGACGACGAGGAAGGCCAGAGCGCGGGAUCCGGUUACCUAGCCAGGAGCUCGCCGGAGUCGGGCGACGGAGGGCGGGCGCGCGAGACGGAUGGAUCCGGCGCGGCGGCGCGAAUUCCUUGCAGGUAGAAGCAGCAGCAGAAGGAGGAGGAUGGGAAGGCUGUAGCCACCGCAGAGAAGAACGAGAUUGGAAAUGCUCUUCAGCAGCCUGUUCUAUGACUCGGCAUCAUCGGAGAACUUUUCUGGUCAUCCCGGUGUUUAGAGAUGCCCAUUCCUGAGGAACAUCAAUGGAGCCACAACCUUUUCAUUUCUUCUGCUUUGCCUGUAGCUGCUCGGGGAAGCAAGGGCCUGAUCUUUGAGGAUGGACCAGGCUUUGAGUCGGCAUUCAAGCUUUUCCAUGGACAGGAUGGGAUAGUUCCCCUUUCAGGAAGAUCAUAUGUGCCUGAUGAGAACCGUAGUGAGAUCACUGAUGUCAAUCCUGAACCUGCUCUGCCCUUUAAUCCAUUUGCUGCAAGAGCCGCUACCAUAAGUCUAUCAGCAUUUGGACCAUUCGGGUUUAACUUCUAUAAUGGCAAGGGAAAAAAGCAGAACAAGAAGCCCAACAAUCUAGACCAGUCACACAAGAAGCCCAACAAGCCAGAUCAGAAUUCCAUGAAAGCAAGAGGCAGAAGCUGGAGCGACAGCCGUGGUGCCGUGGAAGUGGCGAGUCAUGGAGGCAGAGUUGGUCAGUGCAAAGUUGUGCGAAGCGAAGCCAGGCUACGCAGACAAGCAGGCCGAGGGCGAAGGCGGUCGGGUGCCACAGAUGGAGGCGCUGGGACAGGGUGGUGAGGUGAAGAGGACGGGGUCGAGAGCAGCUACAGUGCGUGCAUCUUGUCCCCUCCUUUGUUUUUUCACCAAGCCUACCUAAAAUCUAUCAAAUUAUUCAGGGUAAGAUAGCCGAAUACAUCUACCUCUGGUUAAUUUUAUUUUUUUAACAUGCAAGUACUUUAUUCAGCUGAUCGGGUCUUCUUUUACUUCCGUUCCUCAAUUGUAUUCAUUGGCUGAUCGCCAUGCAUCUAGAAGGUGAUGUCCUGAAGCAUCUAUCAACAUGGAUUAUAGACCGAAUUAUCAACAAGUAUGGUGUUAGCCAGUGUUACCGUGCUCUAAAACUAUGCAAUAGUGAUCUCAAAGAACCAUAAAUAUCCAACAUAGUGGUGGACUUUGGCAUUUUGUGUUUCUGUUAUGACUUUCCUUUGAAUAUUUUGUUAAUUUUCUAAAUAAUCUUUUCUUACCAGCACUGUUAGAGUGUGAUUCAUUAUAGAAAAUUUGAUUGAAGAUCUCAAUGAUGGCAAUUCUUUACAUAUGUAUAGUUGUUCAGCUCCUGCUUUCUGAAACUAUAUAGGAAAUUUGAUUGAAGAUAUGAUUGAUGGCGAUUCUAGGUCACAGUUGUUCAGCUCCUGCUUUCUGACCCAUCAAAUAUUUUGAAAAGUGUUUGCUCCAUCAGAUUCACAUAAAAAGAAAUUGCACAACUGCAUCAUGGCUGUACAGUAUAUGAAGGAAGCUCCGGUUCUGAUAUCUGAUGCAGAUGUAGUCAGAGUUUCAGCAGAAUAUAUUCUUAAUGGCGACAAGGAACUAAUUCUUGCAUUUCUAUGGAAUAUGUUCAUUCAUAUGCAGGUUAAUCUACACAUGUCGUUCAGUAUCUCAUUACUCAUGUUGAAGUUUUAUACUGUUUUAUUUCACCUUUCGUUUGUACUGAAGAGGUGGACUAAUGGACUGACUUUUGUAUUUUUCACUCACUGCAUAGGCAGCAUUACAGUAGAGAUAUGUUGUACUUCUCA
Aegilops tauschii subsp. strangulata is the source of this 2119-nucleotide non-coding RNA. The record is from RefSeq and is a predicted model, not a curated record. Lineage: Eukaryota; Viridiplantae; Streptophyta; Magnoliopsida; Poales; Poaceae.